GCAUAUCAUAGCGGAGGGAAAAGAAACCCAACAGGGAUUACCUUAGUAACGGCGAGUGAAGCGGUAAGAGCUCAAAUUUGAAAUCUGGCGCUUUAAAACGUGUCCGAGUUGUAAUUUGAAGAUGGUAACUUUGGCUUUGGCCCUUGCCUAUGUUCCUUGGAACAGGACGUCACAGAGGGUGAGAAUCCCGUGCGGCGAGGUGAUCCAUUGCUUUGUAAAGUGCUAUCGAAGAGUCGAGUUGUUUGGGAAUGCAGCUCUAAGUGGGUGGUAAAUUCCAUCUAAAGCUAAAUAUUGACGAGAGACCGAUAGCGAACAAGUACAGUGAUGGAAAGAUGAAAAGAACUUUGAAAAGAGAGUGAAAUAGUACGUGAAAUUGUUGAAAGGGAAGGGCAUUAGAUCAGACUUUGAAUUUAGUGAUCAACUUGCCUUUUUGGCUGGUGCACUCGCUACUUUCUAGGUCAACAUCAGUUUGAAUGGCAGGAUAAUGGUGAAGGAAUGUGGCUCUCCUCUUUGAGGCGAGUGUUAUAGCCUUUACUGAUACUGCCUGUUUGGACUGAGGAACGCGGUUUAUACCAAGGAUGUUGACAUAAUGAUCUUAUGCCGCCCGUCUUGAAACACGGACCAAGGAGUCUAACGUUUAUGCAAGUGUUUGGGUGUCAAACCCGUACGCGAAAUGAAAGUGAACGCAGAUAAGAGCCUCUUGUAGGUGCAUUAUCGACCGAUCCAGAAGUUUUCUGAAGGAUUUGAGUAAGAGCAUAACUGUUGGGACCCGAAAGAUGGUGAACUAUGCCUGAAUAGGGUGAAGUCAGAGGAAACUCUGAUGGGAAGCUCGUAGCGGUUCUGACGUGCAAAUCGAUCGUCGAAUUUGGGUAUAGGGGGCGAAAGACUAAUCGGAAACCAUCUAAGUAGCUGGGUUCCUGCGAA
Molecule: ribosomal RNA, 924 nt
Filed under: Alloascoidea hylecoeti
Lineage: Eukaryota; Fungi; Ascomycota; Alloascoideomycetes; Alloascoideales; Alloascoideaceae
Description: LSU rRNA
Rfam family: Eukaryotic large subunit ribosomal RNA
Source: RNAcentral